GACUUGCACAAACUUUGAGUGUGCCAGGUGUUCUGGGAUGUACUUGGUCCUAUAUACGUUGCCCGUCCAUCAAGUGCAGGCGAGUGGCUACAGAUUGCAAAAGAGUUUGAGGAACGUUGAACAUGCCACACUGUGUUGGUGAAAUUGAUGGAAAG
This is a long non-coding RNA of Rhipicephalus microplus (southern cattle tick), 155 nucleotides long. The record is from RefSeq and is a predicted model, not a curated record. Lineage: Eukaryota; Metazoa; Arthropoda; Arachnida; Ixodida; Ixodidae.